GAAGAGCUGUGGCUCCUGGGAAGGGUGUCUGCCUUGCAUGCAGAAGGUGCCAGGUUCAGUUCCUGGCAUCUGUCUCA
Podarcis lilfordi (Lilford's wall lizard) is the source of this 77-nucleotide non-coding RNA. NCBI's taxonomy places the organism in Eukaryota, Metazoa, Chordata, Lepidosauria, Squamata, Lacertidae. The record is from the annotation of a GenBank genome assembly.